AUACGUAGGUGGCAAGCGUUAUCCGGAUUUACUGGGUGUAAAGGGCGCGUAGGCGGGGGUGCAAGUCAGAUGUGAAAUCUAUGGGCUUAACUCAUAAACUGCAUUUGAAACUGUAUCUCUUGAGUGCUGGAGAGGUAGACGGAAUUCCUUGUGUAGCGGUGAAAUGCGUAGAUAUAAGGAAGAACACCAGUGGCGAAGGCGGUCUACUGGACAGUAACGGACGCUGAGUCGCGAAAGCGUGGGUAGCAAACAGGAUUAGAUACCCUGGUAGUCCACGCUGUAAACGAUGAAUACUAGGUGUGGGGGGACUGACCCCCUCCGUGCCGCAGUUAACACAAUAAGUAUUCCACCUGGGGAGUACGGCCGCAAGGUUGAAACUCAAAUGAAUUGACGGGG
This 396-nucleotide ribosomal RNA is filed under the name uncultured bacterium. Its description in RNAcentral is "partial 16S ribosomal RNA". It matches the Rfam family "Bacterial small subunit ribosomal RNA", at positions 523 to 918 of the family's 1533-position model. The record is from RNAcentral.